RNAcentral lists this ribosomal RNA (446 nucleotides) under uncultured bacterium. RNAcentral's name for it is "bacterial SSU rRNA". It matches the Rfam family "Bacterial small subunit ribosomal RNA", at positions 29 to 472 of the family's 1533-position model. The record is from RNAcentral.
AGUGAACGCUGGCGGCAGGCCUAAUACAUGCAAGUCGAACGGCAGUACAGCAGAGCUUGCUCUGUGGGUGGCGAGUGGCGGACGGGUGAGGAAUACAUGGGAAUCUGCCCAGUCGUGGGGGAUAACGUAUGGAAACGUACGCUAAUACCGCAUGCGCCCUAAGGGGGAAAGCCGGGGACCGCAAGGCCUGGCGCGAUUGGAUGAGCCCAUGUUCGAUUAGCUAGUUGGCGGGGUAAAGGCCCGCCAAGGCGACGAUCGAUAGCUGGUCUGAGAGGAUGAUCAGCCACACUGGAACUGAGACACGGUCCAGACUCCUACGGGAGGCAGCAGUAGGGAAUAUUGGACAAUGGGGGCAACCCUGAUCCAGCCAUGCCGCGUGAGUGAAGAAGGCCCUCGGGUUGUAAAGCUCUUUUGUCCGGAAAGAAAGCAAUCGGUUAAUACCCGGU